RNAcentral lists this signal recognition particle RNA (265 nucleotides) under Rossellomorea aquimaris. RNAcentral's name for it is "Bacillus aquimaris signal recognition particle sRNA large type". It matches the Rfam family "Bacterial large signal recognition particle RNA". From Rfam's summary of the family: The signal recognition particle (SRP) is a universally conserved ribonucleoprotein involved in the co-translational targeting of proteins to membranes. Archaeal SRP consists of a 7S RNA and homologues of the eukaryotic SRP19 and SRP54 proteins. RNAcentral also lists the same sequence under 1 other name. The record is from RNAcentral. Lineage: Bacteria; Bacillati; Bacillota; Bacilli; Caryophanales; Bacillaceae.
CCGUGCUAGGCGGGGAGGUAGCGGUGCCCUGUACUCGCAAUCCGCUCCAGCGAGGCUGAAUCCCUUCCUGAGGCUUGCACUCUGUAAGGCCUGCCUCAAGUAAGUGGUGUUGACGCCCGGGUCCUGCGCAAUGGGAACCCAUGAACCAUGUCAGGUCCGGAAGGAAGCAGCAUUAAGUGGACUAUCUCAUGUGCCGCGGGGUUGCCUGGGCCGAGCUAACUGCUUGAGUAACGCUUAUGGAUGCAUGUCGACGGAAGGUGCACGG